CCUACGGGUGGCAGCAGUGAGGAAUAUUGGUCAAUGGUCGUAAGCCUGAACCAGCCAAGUAGCGUGAAGGAUGACGGCCCUAUGGGUUGUAAACUGCUUUUAUGCGGGGAUAAAAUGCGUCACGUGUGAUGUUUUGUAGGUACCGCCUGAAUAAGGCCCGGCUAAUUCCGUGCCAGCAGCCGCGGGAAUUCGGAAGGUCCGGGCGUUAUCCGGAUUUAUUGGGUUUAAAGGGAGCGUAGGCCGCAUGGUAAGCGUGCCGUGAAAGGCCGGGGCUCAACCAUGGCACUGCGGUGGGAACUGGCGUGCUUGAGUGCGCGGAACGUAUGCGGAAUUCGUGGUGUAGCGGUGAAAUGCUUAGAUAUCACGAAGAACUCCGAUUGCGAAGGCAGCAUACGGGAGCGCUACUGACGCUGAAGCUCGAAGGCGCGGGUAUCGAACAGGAUUAGAUACCCUAGUAGUC
RNAcentral lists this ribosomal RNA (460 nucleotides) under uncultured bacterium. Its description in RNAcentral is "partial 16S ribosomal RNA". It matches the Rfam family "Bacterial small subunit ribosomal RNA", at positions 338 to 795 of the family's 1533-position model. The record is from RNAcentral.